GGUAGCCGUGGAGCUUUGAAAGUUGUUGUCUUAACACGGACCUUGUUUUUGAUGUUCAGUUAACAGUGUGCGUCUAUAAACGUCUACAAUUGGAUGCAUUGCUCAAGAAGAGUCCUCUUCUCAUCCAAAGCUAAACUGUAGCGCAACAGCCCUGGAAAGAAAUGUACACUAAAUGCAGUCACCAUGAACACCUUGCACAAAGUUCAACACGUGGAAGGUGGAGUAUCUGCAAGAUGAGAUCUAUUUGUAAUUUAUGCACGCUGAAGUCCUCUACAGUUUAUCUAUUUUUCCAUGGAGAAGUCAUGCCCACUUCAGCUGUCACUGGAAAACAAGACUGCUCCCACGAAUUGUCACCUUGUCUCCUGUAAUAGAACAUGAGAAGAACUGGAAUGAGAGACAACAGAGACAAAACCAGAAAGCACAACUGAUGGAGCCAGAUGGCUGUCCUUGGAUACUGCCUGCGCUGGUGCGGCCACAAAGUCAGCAUACAGCAUGAGACAGAGAGACGGUCCAGUCCCAUGGAUUCUCAUCACUGUGGUUUUGGCCCAAACUGUCAUUGUGCUGAACAGCGCAGCUCAAAGUCUUGAUGAAUUGGUGUGCAGAUUGAGCCUGCAAGAGAAAAAUGUACCGCACUGUCCGGCUCAUUUCCUUUGAGUUAAAUCGUCCUGUUAAAGUACUCCUCUGCGCCUUUGAGACGGCUGAGUUUUGUUUUAAUGGGAUGCUGAACUCGGGAGCUGGCUGACACAGCUACACAGUCAAGGCAAGUAUUUUGCAAUAACUCAGCAUCCUGAAUAUCAACAGACAUUAUACACCACCGCAAAUGUACCACAUUUCAAAUGAUGAUGGGCUUGUCUGUACCUUAAACUUGCAUUUUCGCAACUUGACAAUACAUGAAUGUCAUAUAAAUUUUGGGCCCUUAAUUAUUUAUUAGAAUCUUUAAUUCUCCAGGGUUGCGUUCAUCUGUGGAGGUGGAGAUGCAUUUUGGCUUUGUCCUGGGGUUUUGUCUCGGCGCCCGACAUUACUAGCUUUUGUGAGUAGUGUACUGUAUAUUGAACACAGAAUGUGAACAAAUUUAGUUGUGAUUUCUGUAAUACGGAGAAGGGAUAGGAUUAAAUUAAUUCUGCUAAUUCUUCCUACUCCUACUUCAUGGAAUAACCGUGCAAUAAACCUGUGGCUUGA
This is a long non-coding RNA of Dunckerocampus dactyliophorus (ringed pipefish), 1179 nucleotides long. RefSeq lists it as uncharacterized. The record is from RefSeq and is a predicted model, not a curated record. The transcript is spliced from 4 exons. NCBI's taxonomy places the organism in Eukaryota, Metazoa, Chordata, Actinopteri, Syngnathiformes, Syngnathidae.